This 560-nucleotide unclassified non-coding RNA is filed under the name Hevea brasiliensis (rubber tree). The record is from RNAcentral. Lineage: Eukaryota; Viridiplantae; Streptophyta; Magnoliopsida; Malpighiales; Euphorbiaceae.
GGGAGGUCCAAAUCUUCAUAUUUAUCCUUUUUAAAUAUCUCAUGAAUCAGUCAUUUCCGAAUGGACCAUUUUGUACACGACAAUAUACAUGCUUACUCAAAUCUCACGAAAAACGUAACUUCCCAGAAUCAGACAGUUCACUUCUUUGAAACAUAUGCAUAGUAUUGAGCCAUAGGAACAACGAAAGCAAUCACUAACAGCCCACCAACCACAAGUGUGAAUUGUCCUCUUUUCUCAUCAGUUUCCUCUCUGGAUUUAAAGUUGGACUCUCUUUUGUUAUCCUUGAGUUGGGGACCACCAGGAUCUGGAAGGCCAUCAAUGGCUGCAACAAGACGUCUGGCAGUGCUGAAAACUGCUUCAUUGUACUUCUCUUCAGUAGCCAAAACUGGAAGGUUCUCUGAGACGGUAGCAUCAAGAACAGUAUCUCCAACGGCCUUUACAAAAUCAGGGCCACCAGUUAUUGCGCCUUCCUUUUGACUUGUAACAAGCACAACUAUACCCUUAUCAUUUCCUUGCUCAACACUAGGAUACCACUUCUCCAAAACUUGAUCAGCAUACUC